Molecule: ribosomal RNA, 466 nt
Filed under: uncultured bacterium
Lineage: Bacteria
Description: partial 16S ribosomal RNA
Rfam family: Bacterial small subunit ribosomal RNA
Source: RNAcentral
GAUGAACGCUGGCGGCGUGCUUAACACAUGCAAGUCGAACGGAAAGGCUCCUGCUUGCAGGGGUACUCGAGUGGCGAACGGGUGAGUAACACGUGGGUGAUCUGCCCUGCACUUCGGGAUAAGCCUGGGAAACUGGGUCUAAUACCGGAUAGGACGAUGGUUUGGAUGCCAUUGUGGAAAGUUUUUUCGGUGUGGGAUGAGCUCGCGGCCUAUCAGCUUGUUGGUGGGGUAAUGGCCUACCAAGGCGUCGACGGGUAGCCGGCCUGAGAGGGUGUACGGCCACGUUGGGACUGAGAUACGGCCCAGACUCCUACGGGAGGCAGCGGUGGGGAAUAUUGCACAAUGGGCGCAAGCCUGAUGCAGCGACGCCGCGUGGGGGAUGACGGCCUUCGGGUUGUAAACUCCUUUCGCUAGGGACGAAGCGCAAGUGACGGUACCUGGAGAAGAAGCACCGGCUAACUACGUG